Molecule: ribosomal RNA, 528 nt
Filed under: uncultured bacterium
Lineage: Bacteria
Description: bacterial SSU rRNA
Rfam family: Bacterial small subunit ribosomal RNA
Source: RNAcentral
ACGUAAUAGAUACCCUGGUAGUCCACGCCCUAAACGAUGUCUACUAGUUGUUGGUGGAGUAAAAUCCAUGAGUAAACGCAGCUAAACGCGUGAAGUAGACCGCCUGGGGAGUACGGUCGCAAGAUUAAAAACUCAAAGGAAUUGACGGGGGCCCGCACAAGCGGUGGAUUAUGUGGAUUAAAUUCGAUGCAACGCGAAAAACCUUACCUGGCCUUGACAUGCCACUAACGAAGCAGAGAUGCAUUAGGUGCCCGUAAGGGAAAGUGGACACAGGUGCUGCAUGGCUGUCGUCAGCUCGUGUCGUGAGAUGUUGGGUUAAGUCCCGCAACGAGCGCAACCCUUGCCAUUAAUUGCCAUCAUUUAGUUGGGCACUUUAAUGGGACUGCCGGUGACAAACCGGAGGAAGGUGGGGAUGACGUCAAGUCCUCAUGGCCCUUAUGGCCAGGGCUUCACACGUAAUACAAUGGUCGGUACAGAGAGUUGCCAACCCGCGAGGGGAGGCUAAUCUCAGAAAGCCGAUCGUAGUCC